RNAcentral lists this long non-coding RNA (496 nucleotides) under Homo sapiens (human). Its description in RNAcentral is "non-protein coding lnc-PRPF40A-5:2". The record is from RNAcentral. Lineage: Eukaryota; Metazoa; Chordata; Mammalia; Primates; Hominidae.
CCCUCCGCCUCGAGCACCGCGCGCGCGCAUUCGGUCCCAGCCACCGCUAACACUACAGGCUGCUUACCCCCGCCCCCUCCACCCUACCCCUGGCGGCCUCAGCGGCAGUGGCCGCCGGCGGAGCAGUCUGAGCCCGACGAUGAGGCCGGGGACGGGAGCUGAGCGUGGAGGCCUCAUGAUGGGGCACCCUGGCAUGCAUUAUGCCCCAAUGGGAAUGCACCCUAUGGGUCAGAGAGCGAAUAUGCCUCCUGUACCUCAUGGAAUGAUGCCGCAGAUGAUGCCCCCUAUGGGAGGGCCACCAAUGGGACAAAUGCCUGGAAUGAUGUCGUCAGUAAUGCCUGGAAUGAUGAUGUCUCAUAUGUCUCAGGCUUCCAUGCAGCCUGCCUUACCGGUAAUCAUGUGAAAAUAACUAUUUUCUGUGAAGUAAUGUUUUGAUUGAUUGCUUUUAUAUAUAUGGAAUAAUAUCUAUGUAUUUUAUAGGCAAUCAUGUUAGCUG